This 3548-nucleotide ribosomal RNA is filed under the name Triticum aestivum (bread wheat). RNAcentral describes it as "partial small subunit ribosomal RNA". The record is from RNAcentral. Lineage: Eukaryota; Viridiplantae; Streptophyta; Magnoliopsida; Poales; Poaceae.
UCCAAGGGGUCAAGGGGGAGGCAGCUGGAGCUCCUGGGGAGGAGUGAGAGAGGCGUCCGUCUCGCCUCGUCGCUCGGGCUUCGUUACCUAUCUAUGGUUUCCCACCUCUUCGGAGCCUUACUCUGUGGGUAAGCACUCUUACUCUAGUCCUAGUGACGCGAGCCCUCCUACUCCUUGAUAUAGCCGAUGCCCUACAGCAACGAACUCCUUUUACCCGUACUACUCUAGUGAUAGUUUCGGUACCCUGCUCGGUAUUUAUUCUGCCAGUACCAACGACUUAACUAGUUCUCUUCCCAACGACCAGAGGUAGUCUUAUGCAGAUAACUUAGACAACCGUAGUGACUGUGUACCCUCGGAGACCUUCUUCCGGAACAGGGCGAUCUCUGUUGAGCAGUACAUAGUUACUAAUGGGAUUGUAACAGGUUCCUUGGUAACCUAUGCAGUAGAGGUCCCAUGGUCGGUGGGUAUGGUCGACUUCUCCACUUUGGACGAAAACUAAUACUUGUACUUCCUAGGAAAGGGAGACGAGCACCCUCUCCAGCACCACCUGGACCACCGCCGGCUUCCCCGUCCCCGUCUCGAUAAUCGUUACCUGGGGGAGGAAUACUGACCCCACUUCUUACCCUCCUCCUACCUCUGAUAAUGAUGUUACCAUCUCCGUCUCCCUCUCCGGCCGAUUCUCCUUCCCCUUCUCGGGCACCGAUGAUACCUCCACCAGCUGCACCACCGAUACCGAUACUAAUGCCAAUACCACCGUCCCCGCCGAUGAUACUUCUCGUCCCACCUAUGAAACUACCGCUUGGUCUACUCAUAGUGGGGGGAGGUCCGGCACCCGCACCGUCCCCUUCUUCUUACCUCGUCUCACUUAUGAUGUUACCGCUUGGUCUACUCAUAGCGGGAGGAGGUCCGGCACCCGCACCGUCCCCUUCUACCUACCUCGUCUUACUUAUGAAGCUGCUUGGAAUACUUAUGGGGGGAGGUCCGGCACCAGCACCGUACCCUUCUUCCCCUCCGGGUACCGCGCGGGCUCCGGCGCCCGCACCAGGCUACGAUCUAACUUGACCCCGUACGUUUGGCGUUCGGUACUUCGAUCGUGACGACGCGAAUUAAUGGAUUAUUACCAAAAACGAAUGCCACAACGAGGUACAUACCCCGAGAGACUGCACUUAGAAAUACCGGAGACUACGACAUGCUGAACGGCGGCCCGUUUAAAAUACACCGAAUGGACACCAAACAAAUCGAUCCGGUCGGUCGUUUCAUGGAGUUGUGGAUCAUCUUGCACACUUUAUGGACAUACAAAGUCGGAGGGCACAUCAAUAGAGCCCAAAAUCGAGAGACACCUACACUCACGGCUCAUCCGAACAAACGAAGCUUCAGACGGCACAGAGAAAGCGAACAACCUCGAUCUGUCUCUUUAAUCUCUUCCCUCUAUUUCCACUCUCAAACCAUUACGCCCCCUAGUGUUGUAUUAGAGUAGAGCACUUGGACAAAGUGACAACCUGACAAACCAAUCGGCGAGAGGCAUACUUAAUACAGGACUAAAGAAUGUUUCAAAUCCUAGUCCUUCAUGUCACAUCGUUUAUCCAUGUCUAAAGUCGGUAGCGUUUGAUUCGUGUUUUGUCUGCGUACAACGCCAACUUUGACUUCGCUUUCGGGCAGCUUGUGUUUCAUAUGACACUGUAGUAUAGUCUAAGAGGAAGUCAUAAAAAAUGGUUCACGUAGUUUUAGAUCUUAUAUGGACACGCAUAUAUAUGUGCCGGACGUCUUCUCUUGCUCCUCUGAGUCGUCAGUUUCAGAAGGAGGGUCCUCUUUAUCAGUUGGCGUUAGGCGGCUUGCAAGAACUGAGGUGCCCGCUGAGAAGGAGAAGGAGAGUGAGAGUGCUUAGUUAUCGGAAUCGGGUGUAGAAGGAGGGGUGAAGGCAAUGGGCCGGGACUUCGGUACCUGCCGCACAUGCUUCGCGACCAGCACUGGCACCGACGGAAGCAUCCGUAGAGGCAUGGGACGGAGGAGCAGCGGAAGGAGACGGCGGUGGCGUUCUUGGCGGAGGAGCUCGGCCUGGUGGCGACGAGCAGCAGCAGCAGGGAGGGUUAGAGGCGGGGCCAGCCCUAUAGCAGCCUCGAGAGGAGCAGCACCAGAGACAUGCCUAGCCGGCAGCUGAGGAGGGAGUUCUUCGAGAGCGAGCUGCUGGAGCGGUCCCGGUGGCCGCUUAAGAGGGGCCUGUUGUAGUAGCCGCUGCCGUCGAAGCCCAAGCACAUGGCGCGGCACGAGGGCCUGCCGCCUGGCCGCCACCGGCAGUUCGCGGAGAGGCGCCUGGUGCGGCGGCCGCGGCCGUUGGCGCUCAAGGCGCGGCUCGACCUCCACGAGCCGUCGGAGUCGGUGGCGUUGGAACGCGCGGACGAGCCGAUGACGCGGCGGCCCGCGCUGGCGGAGGAGCAGAUGCUCGAGGAGCUCGCUCCGUCGGAGCUGCGGACCGACGUGCCGCUGCGGCGGAGCCGGCCACCGAGCGAGGGCACCGGGCGCGCGGAGGCGCAGUGGGCGCCGCGUCGCCGGCGCGAGCGGAAGGACGUGGUGCUGGCGGUGGGCGGGCACGAGGUGGCGCUGCAGUUCAGGUCGUUGCACGAUGAGCUGCUCCCCAAGCUCCGGUUCGAGCGGCUAAAGCCGGUACGCUCCCAACAGUGGCCGCCAGGACGGCGCAGCGUCGAGUCGUGCGUCCGGCGGCCGUGUCGCCCCAUGUACCGUGGUCUCUAUGCACUUCCGCACCCUCGUUCGCACUUUCGUCUACACAUGUCAAAACCGCACGAUUACUACCUCUGUCACUGGCCAGCUGCUGGUUCGACCGGUUACUUCUUGUAAUCUCCAUUCCUCCAUCUUGAUAACUUUACCCGUUCCCUUUUCCAACUCCGGCUGUAUAGGAGCCUCUAACGCCUAGUAGCUUACCCAAAUCUUCCCCUUUUCCUUUGUUUCCUCCACUUUUGAAAGAAUCUGUAGCGUGUUUCAACGUGUCUCCUCAGAGGAUUCAUAGCUGGCUGUUACUUUCUCCACCAUCUCUCCGAGUUAUCCGACACUUUCAGAGUUUAGUUUACAAGAGAGAUUACUUCUAACUUACCGUUGUUCUUUUCGAGUCACCUAACUGAUACGGUACUAGUCAAACUCAAGGGGAUGAUAUUACAUAUCCAGAAGACGAUCAUGAAUCAAACAAAAUGUUUAACACGCAUGAAACACAUACUCCUCGACUACUGUACACACUUUUUGUGUAUACAUAAAGCUCAACAUGUUCCUUUUACCCGCUGGUUAUACAGAAUGUGGGAAGAUCCGUGGGGGAGUGGGGGCGACAUGUGUGUGGUGAUGAGUUAAGAUCGUGGAGGUCAUCCGUAGAAAGAAGUAAUGGUUAGUUAAGUUCAUUUACUAUUGAACUUCCAGAUCUCGUAGUAGGUCUAAAGGUAUAGGUACGAGAUCGAUAGUUCGUUAUCUCCGCCUUGUUCAGUGUUCGAUCCAUUUUGACAACUUUGAUACAUAGUUGAUACAUCGAGCAUGUGUAUUAUACUUUC